Felis catus (domestic cat) is the source of this 2598-nucleotide long non-coding RNA. RefSeq lists it as uncharacterized. The record is from RefSeq and is a predicted model, not a curated record. Lineage: Eukaryota; Metazoa; Chordata; Mammalia; Carnivora; Felidae. The transcript is spliced from 2 exons.
GACGCGGCGCUCUCGAUUGGGCCAGGGUUGGGCUGUUACCCGGCCUCACACCAUACCGGAAAUUAAAUUAGAUGGGUCAAGACCAAGGUGGGAAAGGUUAAGACUGAAACUUCUCAAAGGAAACAGGAAAAGGUCUCCCUGAACUUGAGGUCAGAUGGCUUCUGCGCUUUCAUGGAGGCAGUGGCUGGUCACUUUUCCGACAAUGAAGAGUUGUCCAGUUCGUUUUCAAACUACCAGAUUUCACCAAAAGAACCAGAACACGUCUCCUGCCGGCCGAUAGCCCCUUUCCACGACUAAGAACGUCUGCGGGAUGUUGGCACUCUGUGGAAAAAGACAACCUGAAGCAGCAUCCGCAGGUUUGUCCUCGUCCCCGGACCCCCCACACGAGGUGCAACCUCCCACAUUACACUACCCAGCGGGGACCACGUGAGGUCUAGUCUGUUGUGUCCUUUUAGCAAACUAGAGUUCUACGGUUCCUAACAGGAUUUCUAACGGAUAGCACUACCUUCCAAAUACAUUUUUUUUUUUUUACACCCCAGGAAGGUUUUAACUGCCCAUUCACACAAAUCUCAAGUUGAUGGAAGGAGGACAACAAAAGAGUGUCUUUUUAUUUUAAAAACAUUUAUAAAUAUGAACACCUUUGAUGGGACUUUCGGGUGCUCUUGACAUCCAUAAGCAUUUCCGGGAAACCACCUGCAAUGUCUAGAGCACUUCAAAAACUCCGGUGUGACCAUUUCCAGUUGUGGAACCAAACUCAAGGAGAGCCGCAGACACCUUCUCAGAGAGGAGGUGGGUCACUUCACAGGUUUUAUUAGUUAUUCUCCUCCUCAUCCUCUUACCGCUUUCUCAUACUCUUCAUCGCCCUCCUGCACCCUUUUUCCCAGGGAAUGUUAGAUGGCCCCUUCUUCCCAUUUUCCUUUAGAUUGUUUGACAACAUCGUUCUCACUCAUCUCCUUCAACUUUGUUGCCUCAUUAUAAGGGGGCUUCUCAGUACCACUCAAAUUAUUCCGCAUCCUUUGUUUUCUAGCACUGUGUCACAAAUUCCUACAAACUUUGCAGUUCAAAGCAGCACCCGUUGAUCAGCUCACAGUUGUGUAGACCAGAAGUCUGGUAUGUUAUGACUAGGAUCCCUGCUCAGGGAAUCACAAGGCUGAAAUCCAGUUAUCAGCCAACCUGAAUCCUCAUCUGCAGGCUCUGAGUAGACAUCACUUCCAGGCUCCUUCAAGUGGCUGACAGAAUUCAUUUCCUUGUGGGUGUAGGACUGAGGACCCUGUUUCCUUGAUGGCUCUUGGCCAGAGCCCUCUCUCAGCUCUGUAAAGUUUCCUGGGUUCCUUUCAGGUAGCCUCCUACAUCUUGAAGGCAAACCCCCUUUAUUCCUCAAAUCUCUCUGACUUCCUCUUCCACCUGCUGGAGAAAGGUCUCUGCUUGGAAAGGUUUUCUUGGUUACAUCAUGCCCAUCCAGAUAAUCUCCUGUUUUAAGACCAACUCUGCCAUAGAACACAAUCACAUUGUGAGUGACGUCUCAUCGCAUCCAUAGGUUCCAGGGAUUAAGGUAGAAUAUCUUUGUGGAGGAAUUCUAGGAAUCCUGCAUACCGUAACAUAUCACCAGCUUUUUGGCCACAUCCUCAAUGAAAAUGCCUGGGUGUGUAGAUUUGAUCUUGCACAGAGGUCUAAGUAGAAAAGGAGGAAGCCAGAUGGGGUAUGAAAACAUUUGGGAUAUUAUGAUCUUUCUUCUUGUCUCCCUUAGCUGGUCACUGACCUUCCUUUCCUGAUCAUCGUGCCCUUUACCAUUUCAUCAGAUUCGCAUUUCUCUCUCCCACAUACUGUAUUUCACCUCCCAGAGCAUUUGGAGAAUGCAUAGUUCACAGGAGUCUCUGGAUUUUUCUUCAUAUGUCCCUCCCAGCAUAUCUUCACAAAGAGAGCAUGAAUAGGCAUCUUGCCCUUUGGUUUCUUGGGGACACCAUUUGCUCUCCUGACUGUACUGUUUGCUGGUCCAGGCAACAGAGUGCAUAACAAUUUCCCAGUCUUGUACUAGCUGCCUCCCCAAGAACAGCCUCAGGCAAAGAUUUCUUAAGACACAAAAAAGCAGUAACCAUAAAGGGAAAAAGUAUUGAUCAAUUGGAUUCCAUUAAAAUGAAGAACAUCAAUUCUUCCAAUACCACUGAGAGUGAAAAGAUAAGCCAGAGACCAGUAGAAGAGAGUUUCAAUACAUAUUCCUGUAAAAGGUCUCUUACUAUCUGGACUGUAAAGAGCACUCCUUCAAGUCAGUAAGAAAAAGGAAGAGAACUCAAUACAAAAAUGGGCAAAAGUCAAAAUAGAUACUUCAAAAGAGAAGAUAUCCAAACAGAAGAUAAACAUAUAAAAAGGCAUUGGACUGCAUUAGUCAGUCACUAGGGAAACGCAGAUUAACAUCAGAAAGGAGAUGCCCUAGCAGAUCUCCAAAGUGGCUAAAGUGAGAGAGAUGAGACAAUGUCGAUCUCUCAUACGCUGUGGAGCAACCACAAUGUACAGCAACCAGAUCUCUCAUACUUUGCACACAGUGCAAAUUGUUACUGCUUUGGAAAGCUGUUAGCGUGUAUUAAAACUGAUUAUACCCAA